RNAcentral lists this ribosomal RNA (551 nucleotides) under Bacillus subtilis. RNAcentral describes it as "bacterial SSU rRNA". It matches the Rfam family "Bacterial small subunit ribosomal RNA", at positions 69 to 606 of the family's 1533-position model. The record is from RNAcentral. Lineage: Bacteria; Bacillati; Bacillota; Bacilli; Caryophanales; Bacillaceae.
ACAGAUGGGAGCUUGCUCCCUGAUGUUAGCGGCGGACGGGUGAGUAACACGUGGGUAACCUGCCUGUAAGACUGGGAUAACUCCGGGAAACCGGGGCUAAUACCGGAUGGUUGUUUGAACCGCAUGGUUCAAACAUAAAAGGUGGCUUCGGCUACCACUUACAGAUGGACCCGCGGCGCAUUAGCUAGUUGGUGAGGUAACGGCUCACCAAGGCAACGAUGCGUAGCCGACCUGAGAGGGUGAUCGGCCACACUGGGACUGAGACACGGCCCAGACUCCUACGGGAGGCAGCAGUAGGGAAUCUUCCGCAAUGGACGAAAGUCUGACGGAGCAACGCCGCGUGAGUGAUGAAGGUUUUCGGAUCGUAAAGCUCUGUUGUUAGGGAAGAACAAGUACCGUUCGAAUAGGGCGGUACCUUGACGGUACCUAACCAGAAAGCCACGGCUAACUACGUGCCAGCAGCCGCGGUAAUACGUAGGUGGAAGGUUUGUCCGGAAUUAUUGGGCGUAAAGGGCUCGCAGCGGUUUCUUAACUGGAUGUGAAAGCCCCCC